RNAcentral lists this ribosomal RNA (492 nucleotides) under uncultured bacterium. Its description in RNAcentral is "partial 16S ribosomal RNA". It matches the Rfam family "Bacterial small subunit ribosomal RNA", at positions 29 to 507 of the family's 1533-position model. The record is from RNAcentral.
AGUGAACGCUGGCGGUAGGCCUAACACAUGCAAGUCGAACGGCAGCACAGUAAGAGCUUGCUCUUACGGGUGGCGAGUGGCGGACGGGUGAGGAAUACAUCGGAAUCUACUUUUUCGUGGGGGAUAACGUAGGGAAACUUACGCUAAUACCGCAUACGACCUACGGGUGAAAGCAGGGGAUCUUCGGACCUUUCGCGAUUGAAUGAGCCGAUUUCGGAUUAGCUAGUUGGCGGGGUAAAGGCCCACCAAGGCGACGAUCCGUAGCUGUUCUGAGAGGAUGAUCAGACACACUGGAACUGAGACACGGUCCAGACUCCUACGGGAGGCAGCAGUGGGGAAUAUUGGACAAUGGGCGCAAGCCUGAUCCAGCCAUACCGCGUGGGUGAAGAAGGCCUUCGGGUUGUAAAGCCCUUUUGUUGGGAAAGAAAAGCAGCAGGUUAAUACCCCGCUGUUCUGACGGUACCCAAAGAAUAAGCACCGGCUAACUUCGUG